GACGAACGCUGGCGGCGUGCUUAACACAUGCAAGUCGAACGGAAAGGCCUCUUUCGGGGGGUACUCGAGUGGCGAACGGGUGAGUAACACGUGAGUAACCUGCCCUUGACUUUGGGAUAACUUCAGGAAACUGGGGCUAAUACCGGAUAGGAGCUCCUGCUGCAUGGUGGGGGCUGGAAAGUUUCGGCGGUUGGGGAUGGACUCGCGGCUUAUCAGCUUGUUGGUGGGGUAGUGGCUUACCAAGGCUUUGCCGGGUAGCCGGCCUGAGAGGGUGACCGGCCACAUUGGGACUGAGAGACGGCCCAGACUCCUACGGGAGGCAGCAGUGGGGAAUAUUGCACAAGGGGUGGAAGCCUGAUGCAGCAACGCCGUGUGCGGGAUGACGGCCUUCGGGUUGUAAACCGCUUUCGCUCAUGACGAAGCUUUGUGUGACGGUAGUGGGUAAAGAAGCACCGGCUAACUACGUG
RNAcentral lists this ribosomal RNA (467 nucleotides) under uncultured bacterium. Its description in RNAcentral is "partial 16S ribosomal RNA". It matches the Rfam family "Bacterial small subunit ribosomal RNA", at positions 28 to 507 of the family's 1533-position model. The record is from RNAcentral.